This 560-nucleotide ribosomal RNA is filed under the name Blastocystis sp. RNAcentral's name for it is "SSU rRNA". It matches the Rfam family "Eukaryotic small subunit ribosomal RNA", at positions 47 to 623 of the family's 1831-position model. Lineage: Eukaryota; Bigyra; Opalinata; Blastocystidae. The record is from RNAcentral.
AGCCAUGCAUGUGUAAGUAUAAAUAUUUGACUUUGAAACUGCGAAUGGCUCAUUAUAUCAGUUAUAGUUUAUUUGAUGAAAAGUACUACUUGGAUAACCGUAGUAAUUCUAGAGCUAAUACAUGACAAAAUCCUCGACUUUGAAGAGGUGUAUUUAUUAGAAUGAAACCAAGAGACUUCGGUCUAUUUGUGAGUAAUAAUAACUAAUCGUAUCGCAUGCUUAGGUAGCGAUAUGUCUUUCAAGUUUCUGCCCUAUCAGCUUUGGAUGGUAGUGUAUUGGACUACCAUGGCAGUAACGGGUAACGAAGAAUUUGGGUUCGAUUUCGGAGAGGGAGCCUGAGAGAUGGCUACCACAUCCAAGGAAGGCAGCAGGCGCGUAAAUUACCCAAUCCUGACAUAGGGAGGUAGUGACAAUAAAUCACAAUGCGGAACUAUUAGUUUUGCAAUUGGAUUGAGAACAAUGUACAAAUGUUAUCGAUAAACAAUUGGAGGGCAAGUCUGGUGCCAGCAGCCGCGGUAAUUCCAGCUCCAAUAGCGUAUAUUAACGUUGUUGCAGUAAAA